UAAUUUUCUUGAUGGCUUCAAGUUCCAAG
Molecule: non-coding RNA, 29 nt
Filed under: Mus musculus (house mouse)
Lineage: Eukaryota; Metazoa; Chordata; Mammalia; Rodentia; Muridae
Source: RNAcentral